This 48-nucleotide non-coding RNA is filed under the name Schistosoma mansoni. The record is from RNAcentral. Lineage: Eukaryota; Metazoa; Platyhelminthes; Trematoda; Strigeidida; Schistosomatidae.
CUCCAGCUGACGAGUCCCAAAUAGGACGAUACGCGCAUCAAACUGGAC